This 253-nucleotide ribosomal RNA is filed under the name uncultured bacterium. Its description in RNAcentral is "partial 16S ribosomal RNA". It matches the Rfam family "Bacterial small subunit ribosomal RNA", at positions 524 to 776 of the family's 1533-position model. The record is from RNAcentral.
UACAGAGGUCUCAAGCGUUGUUCGGAUUCAUUGGGCGUAAAGGGUGCGUAGGUGGCGAGGUUAGUCAGGUGUGAAAUCUCGGGGCUCAACCCCGAAAUUGCACUGGAUACUGCUCUGCUAGAGGGCUGGAGAGGAGAUCGGAAUUCACGGUGUAGCAGUGAAAUGCGUAGAUAUCGUGAGGAAGACCAGUGGCGAAGGCGGAUCUCUGGACAGCUCCUGACGCUGAGGCGCGAAGGCUAGGGGAGCAAGCGGG